This is a long non-coding RNA of Homo sapiens (human), 797 nucleotides long. The record is from Ensembl. Lineage: Eukaryota; Metazoa; Chordata; Mammalia; Primates; Hominidae.
CCGGGGGCGGGGUGCCGAUGAGAAGCCGCCGGGGGCUGCCGGGUACUUUUCUGUCCAGAAACUCGACGCCGUCCUGCCCCAGCCCAGCCCGACCCCCGUUUUCCUGUACCUGUUGGUAAGAGAAUCGCUGCUGCUCCUCGGUCUCCGCCUCCUCCUCCAUCACUGCGGGCCGACCCUGGGCAAACGCAGGAGGGCCGAGAAGGGGCGGUGGUGCGCGGCCAGGUCGGAUUUUCCCGCCGCGGCGCGAGCGACGGGCCGCGCGGGCGGACAAAGUACGCAGCUCCGCCCUGCCUCGCGCGCCCCCUGGCGGCGCUCCGUUGAGGGGAUUCCGCCGUCGGCCUCCAGCCAGCCCCCUGCUCAGCUUGCUCUGCGGAGGUGGCCGGGCGACGCGGGGACAUGACCACCGAGGUCACUGCUGCACCCCAGAGCCUGAUUCAGCGCCUGGCACAACGCUGAGCACCACUCUCCGCGAAACACGUGUGCGCAUAGGUGCAAAGCGUGUUCCAGUCGGGUGUAGAGGAUGCGUAGCCCACGAUUUACAGAUCAUGUAACGCAGUACACAUUAUCAGGAGCUCCAUGCACCUGUACCUCAGGUGUAUCUUGCAAAAUCGACCAUCAACUUUAUCAUUCUAUCACCAACAAUAGCGUCACAAAGACUACAAUGAGUGAACGACCCGUGACCUCAUUCAGCGAGUGGAACAGGAACUGCGUUGUUGCCAUUGGCAGGAGUAUAGUUCUGACACAAGUGUUACUGUUUUUCCUUUAUGUUAACGAUGAAGUGAGACCAUCAAACCCAA